CUUCGGUAUGUUGGAUUUCCAAUUGGAGUGAUGGCAGCUGUCUUGAUGGAUAUAAUUGUUGCAGUCUACCUGCUUGAAGUCCAUGAUGAAGCAACAUCCACAAUGGGUACAGAGUAAGUCAAGAGGUCUUCCACCUCAGAUCCUGACAAGUCAUCAGCUGAGGUUCUCUUAUUGCUGGAGGCAAACUUCUCCUCAUCAGUGUUUUCCAAGAGAAAGUGACUUUCUUGACUGGCCCACAUUUCUAUAAUUUCUCCUUCUAUUAGUGUGCAUAUUAGAUCUAUUCUGUUUAUUACUAUCAAAUAAUGUGUCAUCGGUUUAAACUAAUAGGUCUGUUAUUUGUGCUCUAUUCUUAAUUAAAGCUCUAAGAGGGGCCUUCUGAUGUGAUUAA
This is a long non-coding RNA of Bombina bombina (fire-bellied toad), 388 nucleotides long. RefSeq lists it as uncharacterized. The record is from RefSeq and is a predicted model, not a curated record. Lineage: Eukaryota; Metazoa; Chordata; Amphibia; Anura; Bombinatoridae. The transcript is spliced from 2 exons.